GAUCGCAGUGAUGACUUUUUGUAAUUCAAGCUCAACAGACCUGAUUACAAGCUCUCAAAUGAGAGCGUGUAUGUCGAUAACCAGCUCUGAGCGAUC
This is a small nucleolar RNA of Mercurialis annua (annual mercury), 96 nucleotides long. RefSeq annotates it as small nucleolar RNA Z107/R87. The transcript has a single exon. The record is from RefSeq and is a predicted model, not a curated record. NCBI's taxonomy places the organism in Eukaryota, Viridiplantae, Streptophyta, Magnoliopsida, Malpighiales, Euphorbiaceae.